ACUCAAAGGAAUAGACGGGGGCCCGCACAAGCGGUGGAGCAUGUGGUUCAAUUCGACGCAACGCGAAGAACCUUACCUGGACUCGAAAUGUAGUCGCCGCCUUCAGAGAUGAAGGUUUCCCGCAAGGGACGGCUGCAUAGGUGCUGCAUGGCUGUCGUCAGCUCGUGUCGUGAGAUGUUGGGUUAAGUCCCGCAACGAGCGCAACCCUCACCCUUUGUUGCUCGCCUGCAAAGGCAGCACUCUAAGGGAACCGCCUCGGAUAACGGGGAGGAAGGUGGGGAUGACGUCAAGUCCUCAUGGCCUUUAUGCCCAGGGCUACACACGUGCUACAAUGGCCGGUACAAAGCGUCGCUAACCCGCGAGGGGGAGCCAAUCGCAAAAAGCCGGUCUCAGUUCGGAUUGCAGUCUGCAACUCGACUGCAUGAAGCUGGAAUCGCUAGUAAUCGCGUAUCAGAAUGACGCGGUGAAUACGUUCCCGGGCCUUGUACACACCGCCCGU
RNAcentral lists this ribosomal RNA (499 nucleotides) under uncultured bacterium. RNAcentral describes it as "bacterial SSU rRNA". It matches the Rfam family "Bacterial small subunit ribosomal RNA", at positions 899 to 1397 of the family's 1533-position model. The record is from RNAcentral.